RNAcentral lists this microRNA precursor (61 nucleotides) under Ascaris suum (pig roundworm). RNAcentral describes it as "Asu-Mir-7_pre stem-loop". The record is from RNAcentral. Lineage: Eukaryota; Metazoa; Nematoda; Chromadorea; Rhabditida; Ascarididae.
UGGAAGACUGGUGAUUUUGUUGUUUGAGCUCAUCCAUAACAGCAAAUCCGUAGUCUCCACC